GACGAACGCUGGCGGCGUGCUUAACACAUGCAAGUCGAGCGGUAAGGCCCUUUCGGGGGUACGACGAGCGGCGAACGGGUGAGUAACACGUGGGUGACCUGCCUUUAGUCUCUGGGAUAAGCCUGGGAAACUGGGUCUAAUACCGGAUACGACUCCGCGGUGCAUGCUGUGGGGUGGAAAGCCUUGUGCGGCUGGAGAUGGGCCCGCGGCCUAUCAGCUUGUUGGUGGGGUGAUGGCCUACCAAGGCGACGACGGGUAGCCGGCCUGAGAGGGCGACCGGCCACACUGGGAC
This 292-nucleotide ribosomal RNA is filed under the name uncultured bacterium. Its description in RNAcentral is "partial 16S ribosomal RNA". It matches the Rfam family "Bacterial small subunit ribosomal RNA", at positions 28 to 319 of the family's 1533-position model. The record is from RNAcentral.